Molecule: long non-coding RNA, 1519 nt
Organism: Anolis carolinensis (green anole)
Lineage: Eukaryota; Metazoa; Chordata; Lepidosauria; Squamata; Anolidae
Exons: 3
Source: RefSeq, a predicted model, not a curated record
GAUAUAAAUGUAAAUAAAUAAGUAACAUGACGGAUGUAACACAAUAUAAGCUGCAUAUAUCUGCUAAUAAAGUAAAUCAAAACCAACUUUUCAUUGCUUAGAAAACCUGCCAGAAGGCAAUUUGGAAAGAGGUGACUUCACAAUCUUCACUAAAUGAAUUAUUUUCUUCUAGAGUGAUUUUUCUAAUGUAAAUAAAGAAAAGAAGGAGCUGAGGAAGAGUAAGAAGAAAGGUGGUGGACCUUUCAGGAUUUGGUCAUUGAUGGUCUCAUGUACCUGUAAGUUGUUGUUAGGUUUAGCUGUAUAUCACUACAUUGUGUAAUGAUGGGGUUUACCUAAAACUGCACCUAUCUGGCUUGAUUCUCCUCUGAGCCUAUUUUCUCCAGCCUCUAAAAUCUGCCGAGGGUGAGCUUGUGACGAGACUGUCCAUGCAUCAAAUCCAGAGAACAAAGUCAUGUGGAAAUUCAUUCUUAUUAAUCGAGGCAUUCCAGCUGAGGUUCACAGACAGAGCAGUUUCCUGAAUUAAAGCACUAUUUGUGUGCUUGGGCAAGCAUUGGAAAGCUGCAGUUUAGGGAGGUCCGAAGGCUGGCUUAAUUUCGUGUUCACCAUGUUUUAUAUUUUCUGUAUUUUCCUCCUUGUAUACUUUUCCACAGGGGAUAAAAAUGAAAUUCGUAAAGGAUAAUUAAAUUGUUCAAAAAGGGAUUGAAGCCUUUUCUUAGCAUGCCUUCAAGUAUCAAGAAUUCUAAUUGGAGAAGACUAGCUGAGCUCCACUUAUGUCUGUGAAGAAUGGGGGCAAGCAGAAUAAUUUCCACGAGGAUUGUCAGCUCUUCCAAACAUCUUCAUAACCGAAGAGUCUAAGCGGGGAUACCAGUGUACACACCUGAUUGUCCCACCAACCUUGUAUCCUUACUCAGAAGUAAUGCCAAUUGAAUUUAAUGUCACUUCCUCUUAGUUUGCAGCCAGUGAAGGAAGCUGGGGACAAAGGAGAAAAGUGGAGAAGAAACUCAGCCAUUUAAAAACUGCUGAAAAAAUGAGCCAACAUCAAGACCAUCCCUGCCAAGUAUGAACAUAAGACACUUUUCAAGACUUCAUAUAUGGAAUGGACUCCCCUUUUCCAAGUCAGGACAUUGAAAGCAAUGUAUUAGAAGAAAUAAACUUGACACACAUUAAAAUUCAAAACCACGUGCAUCUUCCUUUAUUUGCGUUCAUCUUUCUCUGAAUCUGUAUGUUGUGUAUUAAAAAGGGCACUUGAAUGGAAUGAGGGGAGGGAAACAACAAAAACCAAGAAUUUCCUCUCUUUUCCUCUGCCCCACGCCUUGCUGCUGAUGCAGUUUCUUGUAGGCCUUCACUUGUUUUCUUUGAUUUGAUUUAUCAACUCGCUUAAUGUAACCUAGUUAAUUUUUCUCUUUACCUUUUUUGUUUUCUCGCAGGCCAUUAACCCUGGUAACAUGAAUUCCAGAUGCACUUGUUUGGGAGGCAUGUAAAUAAAAUACAGAUUAUUUGGGUUUAUAGCUAACAGGUU